Molecule: long non-coding RNA, 338 nt
Organism: Gopherus evgoodei (Goodes thornscrub tortoise)
Lineage: Eukaryota; Metazoa; Chordata; Testudines; Testudinidae
Exons: 4
Source: RefSeq, a predicted model, not a curated record
GGCCAGACAAUUCUGUGUCAAAGCACUGCUCUCAUACAGCAAUCUCUCUCAACAGUGUGGGCUUUGGUGGUGUGGCCAGCACCAAGGGACAUGAACUGGCUAUCACCCUUCAGGGACACUGAUGCUCCUACAUGAUGGUGAAGAACAACUUUACAUGGAUUUGGUCUCAUGGCUCCAAGCAGUGCCCAAGCACUAUCACCCAGGUGAAUGGAUACGUCCAACCGAAUGCUUUGACAUUCAAGCUAGAAUCCCUCUGGCAGAGAAGCAGAAAAUCAAGGUGAAAUCACUCAAGGGAAAACACGGAGAUCCCCCCUAUCUCCUCCCCAAUCAAAAUCAGC